Molecule: long non-coding RNA, 1319 nt
Organism: Arabidopsis lyrata subsp. lyrata
Lineage: Eukaryota; Viridiplantae; Streptophyta; Magnoliopsida; Brassicales; Brassicaceae
Exons: 6
Source: RefSeq, a predicted model, not a curated record
CAAAGCCACGAAAAAAAAAAGAAAAAAAAAAAAAUCCCCACACCAAAACCUAGAUCUUGUGGAGCUAAACUUUAAUGUUCUGAAAACCAACCUCUUCAUCUCCUUUGUUCGUGAAGCUAAACGUCACCAUCGAUCUACUCCGGUGAACUCCUCUCCUUUCUCUGGCAAGCAUCUCCAUCUUUCUCCUCCGAGAUUUAUCUUUCCCGACAUGGAAGAUGAUGCUUGCCUUCCGAUAACAAAAUUGAAAUCGAAAAACGGAUUCCGACCACAGCCGCUGGCUGUCUUCGGCGAAACAGACCGCCGCCAUCACCAUUCAUUCCAGGUGACAAGUUCCGAAUUCCGAUAGCUUCUCUGACGGUUUACAGCUCUUCUCCGACGAAACUAAAGCUCCUUCUUUGUCUCCUCCGUGAGACCAGAGACUAAACGGGACCCAGAUCUCCUCUGUGAAUCUAGAGACAACCGGUGGAUGUGGAUAAGCUACAAUGGCUUGAGAUCCGAGCAUGCCGAUGGAUGUGGGAUUCACGGUCCAUGCCACCCAUUACGGGAGGUGUAUCCCCGGUGGUAGAUGAUGGGUUUAAAAUUCAUGUCCCGCCACCAUUCCCAACGACUUGUUCACCACUGCCAUCACCUCUGCCACUGUCUUCCUCCUCAAGCUCAAUAAGUUAUGACUUUACUAAUUGUUUGUUCCUUUCUAACAUUGCUUAUUUUUUCAAAAUUUGUAUUGGGGAUUGAAAAUAUAUAUGUGAGCUUAAAGUUUCACUCUUUGAGGUUAUUUAGUAUACAUAAUGAACUUAGGUUGUUCGACAUAAUGCCUCAAUGAGAAUUAGAUCUGUUUCGGAUUAUAGUUAAUUUAUGAAUUAAACUUAUUCGUUUAUGAGAAGGAAGCUAAGGAGAUGCUAAUGAUAGAAACUUUGAGGGUCUUGAAACAUAUUUUCAAGGCUUACGAAGAAAGGAGUGAAAGUCGCUGCCAGAAAGAAGACGGUUAAAAUAUUCUCGAGAAGAGGCUAUGUAUCUCAUGAUCACCAUUGUCAUCUGCGAAACAGAGAAUUAAAAAACCAUCCAGAUCCUCAGCUAUAUGGGGGCUGUAGAAGACCAUGUUAUUGCUUGCAAAAAGUAAAAACGCCUUACUUCCAAUUGAUACGAGAGAAUGGUUGAAGAGAUGGGAGCCAAGUUCAAGGAGGAAGUUGACUAUAUCGUUUAACUUAUGAUGUUAGUUUUAGUUUGAUUAAGAUUAGGCGAUAGUUUAGUAAAUAGUAUAAGACUUAAUAUGAUAUUAUGUAUACCUUGUUUUUUUUUAAUGUAAUAUUAUUUAUUUAUGA